UUUCCGUAGGUGAACCUGCGGAAGGAUCAUUAAAAAAAGAGAAACGUCCCGUUCUUUUUCAUAAGAAUGGGUUCUAUUCCCUUAAACCGUGUCUACAUACCUUUGUUGCUUUGGCAGGCCGCCUUCGGGCGUCGGCUCCGGCUGAUAGUGCCUGCCAGAGGACCCAAACUCUAUGUUUAGUGAUGUCUGAGUACUAUAUAAUAUUUAAAACUUUCAACAACGGACCUCUUGGUUCUG
This 237-nucleotide unclassified non-coding RNA is filed under the name plant metagenome. Its description in RNAcentral is "partial contains small subunit ribosomal RNA, internal transcribed spacer 1, and 5.8S ribosomal RNA". The record is from RNAcentral.